CCUGUGCAUCGCUCCACCGCCUUUUCCGCUUGCGGAAGGGGAGGAAAGUCCGGGCAGCGUAGGGCACCGUGCUUCCUAACGGGAAGGAACAUCACUGGAGACGGUGGUGUUACAGAAAGUGCCGCAGAAAGGGAAACCGCCGAUCCAUCGCAAGGUGGAGGCAAGGGUGAAAAGGUGGUGUAAGAGACCACCAGCAUUGCUGGCGACAGCAGUGGCUUGGUAAACCUCACGGGCUGAAAGGCCAUGUAUACCGGAAGAACGCCGAAAGGCGUACGUGGAUCGUCCGUCCUUGUGGCGCAAGCCGCAUUCCGGAGGGUAGGCCGAUAGAGGCGAAGAGUGAUCUUCGUCCCAGAUAGAUGGUGGAGGUUCCGCUGAAAAGUGGAAUACAAAACCCGGCUUAUAGAUGCACAGGAGUU
This 416-nucleotide RNase P RNA is filed under the name Bacteroidota bacterium. Its description in RNAcentral is "RNase P RNA component class A". It matches the Rfam family "Bacterial RNase P class A". Rfam says of the family: Ribonuclease P (RNase P) is a ubiquitous endoribonuclease, found in archaea, bacteria and eukarya as well as chloroplasts and mitochondria. Its best characterised activity is the generation of mature 5'-ends of tRNAs by cleaving the 5'-leader elements of precursor-tRNAs. Cellular RNase Ps are ribonucleoproteins. Lineage: Bacteria; Pseudomonadati; Bacteroidota. The record is from RNAcentral.